This 497-nucleotide ribosomal RNA is filed under the name uncultured bacterium. RNAcentral describes it as "partial 16S ribosomal RNA". It matches the Rfam family "Bacterial small subunit ribosomal RNA", at positions 28 to 507 of the family's 1533-position model. The record is from RNAcentral.
GAUGAACGCUGGCGGCGUGCCUAAUACAUGCAAGUCGAGCGAACAGACGAGGAGCUUGCUCCUCUGACGUUAGCGGCGGACGUGUGAGUAACACGUGGAUAACCUCCCUAUAAGACUGGGAUAACUUCGGGAAACCGGCGCUAAUACCGUAUAAUAUAUUGAACCGCAUGGUUCAAUAGUGAAAGACGGUUUUGCUGUCACUUAUAGAUGGAUCCGCGCCGCAUUAGCUAGUUGGUAAGGUAACGGCUUACCAAGGCGACGAUGCGUAGCCGACCUGAGAGGGUGAUCGGCCACACGGGAACUGAGACACGGUCAAGACUCCUACGGGAGGCAGCAGUAGGGAAUCUUCCGCAAUGGGCGAAAGCAUGACGGAGCAACGCCGCGUGAGUGAUGAAGGUCUUCGGAUCGUAAAAAUCUGUUAUUAGGGAAGAACAAAUGUGUAAGUAACUAUGCACGUAUUGACGGUAACUAAUCAGAAAGCCACGGCUAACUACGUG